This 186-nucleotide ribosomal RNA is filed under the name Mysmeninae sp. MYSM-006-MAD. RNAcentral's name for it is "partial 28S ribosomal RNA". Lineage: Eukaryota; Metazoa; Arthropoda; Arachnida; Araneae; Mysmenidae. The record is from RNAcentral.
AAACGGAUGGGCCCUCGAAGUCCUGUGGUGGGAGGAUUCAGUUGAAUGAUGCAGGNGCAGGAUGCCGAGCCGGACAGACCCAUACAUAAUCCKCUUUUGAGCGAAGGUCCAGCACGCCCAKUGCCCGCGUCGGACGACNCAUUUGCUUCCCGCCCUAAGGAAGCCGCAACCGGUUGGGAGCCGGCC